CUUGCAAGUAAGAUGAUGUCACAGAUUUUUUGUCCAUGUUGGUCUAAACACCUUGGGCUGCAAAGAGAAUAGUGAGUCAAUAUUUAGCCAAUUUUCUUUUUGUAACGUCAAUAUGGCAGAAGAAAGACGGCUCAACAAUAUAAGUAACCAUAUCAAAUUUGCUUAGAAUGAAAUGAACAAAGGGAAUAACAUUCCCAAGUAAUUGAUGAGUUAUUCCCAAGCAAUUGAUGAAUGGUAAUCCUCGAUUGAGUAUAUCUUUUUUCUUUUUUUUUUGGAAGGAAGAAAUUAUGGUUGGAGAGAGCAAAAAAGAAGUAAUUUCUUUGGAAGAGAUGACAGGAGCAUAGUAUUGAACUUCUAAUUCAUAAAGAGUUAGAAGAGAUUAAAGUCUAAGAAAGGGGGGAAAUUAGAAGUUGUCAAAUUAAUUAAUUCAAAAACUGAGUUAAGUAAGAAAUAGGAACCUGAAGUGAGAUUGUCUUAGAUUGACUCAGAUCUUUUUUUUUUUUUUGCAUCUUCCAAGCUAUCCACUUGGUCACAACAAUGUAUUUAGUUCUACUGAAAGAUUUCCAUGUCUCUGAAGCCAAUAAAUUCUACAUCGAGAACAAUCAUGCAAUUGUAAUGUGUAUAUUGGUGGGACAUUAUGUUGAAGAGAAGAACUAAAGUUAUUCAGGAUGACGCAGCUACAAUUGCCCCUGCAUGAUAAAGAUCAAUGACUUCAACAUGAAAAAUAUAAAUGAUGGAGCUUGUAAGUAAAUGUACAAAAAGAUAGGUAUAAAUCAGUAAAUGAGAAUACCUGUCAAUAUAAAGAUGUCCAGUUCAAUUUGUUGACGAUGAUCUGGCUACCUUACUUUAAGUCAUGAAGGUCAAUUGAGGUUCUCUUUGCUAUUUCUUGGUUUUUCAACUGCACUAAAUCAUUUAGACAAUUUCAGCUAUUGACAGUACACAGGCAAUGUAAACCAAUGCGAAUUGAAAUUUCAAUAUGUUAUUUCAAAUUAUGAUUCCUCCGAAAAACAAACCCAAUUUCAGCAUCCCAAAGUAUAUAUAUUUUUUGGCUAGGAAUAGAAAAAUAUUAUUUCCAAACUCCAAACAUAAGUAGAAAUGAAGAGGUCAAAAUUGACGUGUAAUUGAGGAUUGAAGCGAACAUACUGAUCUUUGUUAAAAUUUCAUUUGUAGGUAACUAUAUUUUAUAUAAUUAAUGGAAAUUCAGAAUUUAUAUUUGCAAAAGCAUAAAACUUGUCUUCUGGAGAUGAGCUCUCCAACACAUUAAUUGCUUUCAAUGAAACAACAUUUGAAUGUGGUACC
RNAcentral lists this long non-coding RNA (1299 nucleotides) under Aquilegia coerulea. RNAcentral describes it as "long non-coding RNA (ACOE_LNC000579)". Lineage: Eukaryota; Viridiplantae; Streptophyta; Magnoliopsida; Ranunculales; Ranunculaceae. The record is from RNAcentral.